Molecule: ribosomal RNA, 438 nt
Filed under: uncultured bacterium
Lineage: Bacteria
Description: partial 16S ribosomal RNA
Rfam family: Bacterial small subunit ribosomal RNA
Source: RNAcentral
CCUACGGGGGCAGCAGUGGGGAAUAUUGCACAAUGGGGAAAACCUGAUGCAGCGACGCCGCGUGAGUGAAGAAGUAUUUCGGUAUGUAAAGCUCUAUCAGCAGGGAAGAAAAUGACGGUACCUGACCAAGAAGCCCCGGCUAACUAGGUGCCAGCAGCCGCGGUAAUACGUAGGGGGCAAGCGUUAUCCGGAUUUACUGGGUGUAAAGGGAGAGUAGACGGACAGACAAGUCAGAAGUGAAAGCCCAGGGCUCAACCCUGGGACUGCCUUUGAAACAGCCGGGCUGGAGUGCAGGAGAGGUAAGCGGAAUUCCUAGUGUAGCGGUGAAAUGCGUAGAUAUUAGGAGGAACACCAGUGGCGAAGGCGGCUUACUGGACUGUAACUGACGUUGAGGCUCGAAAGCGUGGGGAGCAAACAGGAUUAGAUACCCCUGUAGUC